This is a non-coding RNA of Biomphalaria pfeifferi, 648 nucleotides long. The record is from the annotation of a GenBank genome assembly. NCBI's taxonomy places the organism in Eukaryota, Metazoa, Mollusca, Gastropoda, Planorbidae.
ACAAAGAUGUACUGUAGAUAACACAGAUGUACUGUACAUAACACAGAUGUACUGUACAUAACAAAGAUGUACCAUGUAACAGUUCCUUUCUUUCUUGUAUGUCUUCCCACCAAAUGAACAUUCCACCUGACCUGCCUACUUGUGAACAGAUCUAACACAUAACUAAUACUGAAGUUUUUUUUGUUUUUAUUUAAUUUGUCAUUGAUGAUGUUUUGUUGAUUUUGUCAAACUGUUGCAUUUAAUGUGAUAAAGGAGAUAAAACAUUCCUGGGUCAAUAUGAUGAACUUUACAGUCUGAUUGUAUGACCCAAUUUUACAAAACAAGUAAUUUAUGUAUAUACUGCAUUUGUGAACAAAAAUGGUUGACUUCAUAUCAGAAGAAUUAUAUUGACAAAUAUUGUACAUAAACAAAGAUUUAAAAAUCAAAAGUAAAAUGUCUUUCAUUGUGUUGAAGUUAAUGAUGCACUGUGAACUUUUGAAUAGCUGAAAAUACAGUAGCAUGAUUAAAAUAGAUGUCUAAUCAUGACUAAUGACAUUAUUUUUAUAAGAAUCUGGGCUCAGUCUUAUCAUGGAGCAUUGAAGUUCCAAUUUGUUUUGGUCAUUUUUUGAAUUCCAAUUCAAUUUCAUUAUUUUAUUUUUGUUCGAAAUA